Molecule: ribosomal RNA, 27 nt
Filed under: Gollania ruginosa
Lineage: Eukaryota; Viridiplantae; Streptophyta; Bryopsida; Hypnales; Pylaisiaceae
Description: partial 25S ribosomal RNA
Source: RNAcentral
CAGACCUCUAAUCGGAAAAGACCACCC